RNAcentral lists this long non-coding RNA (244 nucleotides) under Capsicum annuum. RNAcentral describes it as "long non-coding RNA (CANN_LNC012196)". The record is from RNAcentral. Lineage: Eukaryota; Viridiplantae; Streptophyta; Magnoliopsida; Solanales; Solanaceae.
AACCUAGUAGAACUGAUUCAGUCAUCAAACCUCCACCAGAAUCAGACUCGUUGAAUCCCACGUUUGACAAUGCACAGUAUUCUGCAAAUAGACCGUCUCCUCCAGCAGCAACCCCACCACCACCUCAUUUACACAUCCCUCCACCUCCGUCAGUCACCACACAAACACCACCUUCACACAUCCCUCUAUCACCUCCGGCAGCCAUCACACAGACACCUCCUUCACACAUUCCUCCAUCACCCCC